Molecule: ribosomal RNA, 512 nt
Filed under: uncultured bacterium
Lineage: Bacteria
Description: partial 16S ribosomal RNA
Rfam family: Bacterial small subunit ribosomal RNA
Source: RNAcentral
GAUGAACGCUGGCGGCGUGCCUAAUACAUGUAAGUCGAACGAAAUUUCUUUAUCACCGAGUGUUUGUAGUCACCGACAAAGAGUUGAGUGGCGAACGGGUGAGUAACACGUGGGCAACCUGCUCAAAAGAGGGGGAUAAUACUUGGAAACAGGUGCUAUUACUGCAUAACAAUAGUUACCGCAUGGUAACUAUGUAAAAGGUGGCUAUACUACCGCUUUUGGAUGGGCCCGCGGCGCAUUUGCUAGUUGGUAGGGUAAAGGCUUACCAAGGCAAUGAUGCUUAGCCGAAUGAUGAGGUUGAUCGGCCACAUUGGGACUGAGACACGGCCCAAACGCCUGCGGGAGUCAGCAGUAGGGAAUCUUCCUCAAUAGGCGAAAGCCUGAUGGAGCAACGCCGCGUGGAUGAAGAAGGUCUUCGGAUCGUAAAACCCUGUUGUUAGAGAAGAAAGUGCGUGAGAGUAACUGUUCACGUUUCGACGGUAUCUAACCAGAAAGCCACGGCUAACUACGUG